CAGCCGCCACGGGAAUACGUAGGUGGCAAGCGUUGUCCGGAAUUAUUGGGCGUAAAGCGCGCGCAGGUGGUUUAAUAAGUCUGAUGUGAAAGCCCACGGCUCAACCGUGGAGGGUCAUUGGAAACUGUUAAACUUGAGUGCAGGAGAGAAAAGUGGAAUUCCUAGUGUAGCGGUGAAAUGCGUAGAGAUUAGGAGGAACACCAGUGGCGAAGGCGGCUUUUUGGCCUGUAACUGACACUGAGGCGCGAAAGCGUGGGGAGCAAACAGGAUUAGAUACCCCAGUAGUCCCUGUCUCUUAUAC
Molecule: ribosomal RNA, 301 nt
Filed under: uncultured bacterium
Lineage: Bacteria
Description: partial 16S ribosomal RNA
Rfam family: Bacterial small subunit ribosomal RNA
Source: RNAcentral